GAGUUUGAUCCUGGCUCAGGGUGAACGCUGGCGGCGUGCUUAAGACAUGCAAGUCGAACGGUCCCUUCGGGGAUAGUGGCGCACGGGUGAGUAACGCGUAACUGACCUACCCAAAGUCGCGGAUAACGAUUCGAAAGAAUCGCUAAUACGUGAUGUGCUGUCAGAUUGUGUUCUGCCAGUAAAGAUUUAUUGCUUUGGGAUGGGGUUGCGUUCCAUCAGCUAGUUGGUGGGGUGAAGGCCUACCAAGGCGACGACGGAUAGCCGGCCUGAGAGGGUGGCCGGCCACAGGGGCACUGAGACACGGGUCCCACUCCUACGGGAGGCAGCAGUUAGGAAUCUUCCACAAUGGGCGAAAGCCUGAUGGAGCGACGCCGCGUGAGGGAUGAAGGUCUUCGGAUUGUAAACCUCUGAAUCAGGACGAAAGACGCGUAAGCGGGAUGACGGUACCUGAGUAAUAGCACCGGCUAACUCCGUGCCAG
This 479-nucleotide ribosomal RNA is filed under the name uncultured Deinococci bacterium. Its description in RNAcentral is "bacterial SSU rRNA". It matches the Rfam family "Bacterial small subunit ribosomal RNA", at positions 9 to 511 of the family's 1533-position model. The record is from RNAcentral. Lineage: Bacteria; Thermotogati; Deinococcota; Deinococci.